GACAGAGAAGCCUAUUAGGAAAUCAGAAUGCUGUUUUCAGGCAAACUGAACCCCAGAGUUUAUAAUGGUUAAGUUCUAAAGGCAAGUGUCCAAGCAUAUUACUGAAGAAUUUCUUUGCUUAAAUGGCAGCAAUCUUCCUUUAUGACAGAGAGCUGGAAGAGCAGAGCAGCUGUCAGUCUGAGAUGCAAUCAGUCUCCUACAACAUAUGCUUCAUGACAUGCAGAGAGCGGGACAGAAAAUAAACAUCAUGGAGAUUUUCCUGGCUGAGAGAACAUGCUAUACAGAAAAACAGACCGGCUAAGUAGAUUUAUUUCAACAGCUAGUGAAGCUAAAAUUUUUCACAAAACUCCAUUUCAAGCUCCAUACUCGAAAUAAUUUCAAUGGCUUUUCAGCCUGAUACUAACAAAGAGAUGCAAGAGAUUGCCAAAGAUCCUAAGCCUGCCCUAAUCAGCACAGAUGAUGGGUGAUUUCGGAGACAAAACUCUUUUGGGAGUGACCAUGUCAGUGUGCUGCUGUUGUGAAUCAUCUUUAAAACCUUCUCCACUGAGUGUGAAGGACAUCCCCUCAAUAAAGGGGUUUGGUGAUUUGCUUAAGUCAACCCUGCUGUGUUCAGCAGGUAUGUACUGAAGAGAAAAUCUGCUGGAUUUCAAGAUACUGCCAUUAAAGCUCCCAGACCAACUCAUGGGAAAGCUUGUCUAGCUUUCCCUCUCUCCGACCAGACUGUCACAUCCACAUCCACACUUGUGGCUCUGAAGGCCCUGGAGAGACGCUGACCCCCAAAGCAGAGGAGCCAGCUCCAGGGUGUGAUCUGGCAGCCUCUCUUUCUUCCAGCCAGGUGGCUUUGUGCUAGGCUGUGAUGAGAGAAGUCCAGCAGCUUUACCCCUGGGAUACAGCCCACUGGAGCUGAGAAAAUAGAGCUGGCUUGAGUGGCAUUCAGGAGCUCUGAACUGAGCACAGCAGAGACCCAGCAUGACUGGAAUUUCCAAGCCCCACUGCAAGGGUAACUGCUCUAAAGUAGCAAAAAUCUUGUGCAAUAUUCUUGGUAGCCUUCUGUGAGCACUGUGCUGUUAUUUUCAAUGCAAAAAUCCUCCUUUUAAUAUCUGAGGAUUCCUUCCUUUCUGUCUUUUGUUUGUGGGUUUUUUUGGUUUGGUUUUUUUAAUUGUUGUUUUUUGGUUUGAUUUUUUAAAUAGUUGUUUUUUGGUUUGAUUUUUUUUUUAAUUGUUGUUUUUUGAUUUUGGGGGGUUCUUUUGGUUGUUCUGUGUGUUUGUGUUUUUUUUGGCUAGUUGGGGCUUUUGUUUUGUUUUGUUUGAGGUUCUUUGGGGGAGUCUUAUUAUGUUUUGUUUAGGUUUUUGUUUCUUUUUGUUGGGUUGUUUUGGUUUUGGGGAUUUUUUGAUGUUGUUUUUGACAGGUAGCCCCAACCUGUGAGAUGAGUCUCACUGGUGAACCUCAUUAAGAAGAGUUUUAUUAGUAAAAAAAAAAAAAUCACAUAAAACCCAUUCUUUUCCUCCUAGGGUCUUGAGAGAAAAUGCAGUGGAAUGGGAAUAGGUAGAAUUUGCUUGUCAAACUAUUCAAGAGCACCAUAUAGUUGUAAAUAAAGCAUUAGGUAUUUAUUAGAAAUGUGGAUUCAAUUUCUAGAGAGUAAAAAAGCCAACAAAAACCAUGCCACAGAAACCUAACCAUAUUUUUGUGAAUUCCAGCUAGAGGAAAACUAAUUGUGUUUGUUUUUAUAGAUUAUAUAAAAAAAUUACAGGGAGAGGAAGUAACAAGUUGUACAAUGAAUGAAAUAAUUCCAUUUUAGAAAGGGAUUCUUUUUAAAUCUAUGAAUGAAAAAACACUUUAUAUUUUUUUUUGUUGAAAUAUUAUAAUAAUAAUUUUGAGGCUUUUUGAUUCAAGAGGUAUUUUGUGGUCUGGAUUACUAAAGGAUAGAAGGUGUAAUGAAGUGAUGGUGGAAUAAGAAAUGUUAGUUUAGACUCCAGAUUGUCGUUGUUUGUUUUCUUGUUUUACCCUCAAGAAGAAGCUUAAAUAUUUAAUUCUGUAGCAUUUCUAAUUUUAUACAAAGUUCAUAAUAAAGCAUAAGGCAACUUUGCCCUAGUUUAUUGGCAUUGGCAUUUUUAAUUAAAUGUUUUGUUUUUUCAUUGCAAACUAAAAUUUAAACCAAAAAUCAGCAGCAGGAGAUUUUAACUGCACAAAAUUCUUUUUGAGCUGGAGACAAAAGCUCUCAUUGGUGUCUCCAAAGAUAGGUUAUGUCUUUCUCUUUUAUCUAAAGCCUGGUUGAAUUUGUUGAGUUUUGCUAGCUGAGUUUGUGGUUUGGUUCAAAUAUUUUUAUGAAUGCCUGAGGGUCCCUGAAAAUGCUCUUUUUGCAGAAUAUGAACUUGAAAACAAAGCUGCAAACAGAGUGGCAGCAUGUCUUUGACUUCCCUUCAUACCUGUACACAGAGUCAUUUCCACAUGCCUAUGGUCAUUACAUCUCCUUUAUUUACAUUUGAUUACAUGUGAAGCACAUUCAUUAAAAAGCUUGCUAGACUGAAUUUUGAAGCUGGCUUGAUGCUGCCUGUUAAACCCAUUAUUUGGUGAAUCCAGAGUAUAGAAUGCGUAGAAUAUAGACAUCAUGGAAUUAAAUUCUUGCUCUUUGUUUAACUUGGGACUCCUGCUUUACUAAAAACUUAGCUGUGAAAAUUCUAACUAGGUGAAGUAAUUCAGGCAAACAAAGCCCAAGACAGAUUCAAUAACUUGGAAGCAAUAUACUUUUUCGUGAGAACUCUAGGAACUCAAGUGGGAAAUUCUGACUCAUUCUGCAGAAACUUGAGUCCAAGUCUUACCACAUUCCUAACCUAACUCUGCAGAUUCACCAGUUCAGCUGCAUUUCACAUAGGCAGCUGAAUGCCUAGGCAUUUCUUUGGAAUUGUUUUUUUUUUAUUAUUAUUGAAUGUGAUAUAAGCUGAGAGCUUAUUUGUUUGAGCCUGGACUUUACUGAAUUUGAUCGUUGCCCUCCCGGUUUUUUAAUUCUUGAUUUUCAAAAAACCUUCAUCCUGGUCAUGAACUCUGUGGUUUAAAUGCAAAUUGUUUGCAUCAUUAUUUCUAGAUGAAUGAUUCACUAGUUGAAAAGUAACAGAGGGGAAAGAAAAAAAACCAACAAUAAAAAUGACAACCAAGCUUAAGGGAUUUCAACAGAAAAGCAAUAACCUGGAUCCCUCUAGAGGCCGUUUGUGUAAUAUUUGGUAGGGAAAAAAAGAUUUGAACUUGUCUCCCAAUUCACUGUCUACAAAUAAAGGAAGCUUAUCUAUCUCAUGUUGUUGCUUAUUAUCUUGCCAGAAUGCUUCUGUCUGGUGGUGAAAGAUGCAUAAUUAUUGUACUUUCUCUCCUUCAAGAAACUUGUUCUUCCUUAUAACUGAGCAAUGCAGCAGGAGCUUCUGCAUGCACUGAUUCAGUCUUAACUCCUAAAGGCAUCUUUCCUUGAAAACUAUUUUUAGAAAGCAAGUGAUGUCAGAAGCCAGUUGAGGUACCAAAAAUUUAGGUUUCCAUUUGUGGUAGUAUUGCCAAGGAGUUAAUUAAACAGACCAAACAACAGAGAUACUACUCUUUUCCCACCUGUGUGCAUUGAUUCUGAUCUCUGGCAUAGUGAGAAUGCCCCUUUGUGUGAAAAGUCAAAUCCUGAAUCCUGAAAGAGACAAGACAGGCCAUGAUGAUGGUGGAGACCUGCAGGCAAUCAGCAGAAGAGGGGGUGGUUUCCUUGGAAAGGAGCAGUGCUCAGCACAGCAGGGUGAGGAACAGAACUCGCUGAACCCUUCCCACUGCUUCUGGUGUACAAUAAUUUCUCUACAUUAAAUGCUUCCUGACACUGAGAGCACUGCUAUUCCAGUGUCUCAUUCAGGAUAAUCUGCUUAUGUGUGCAUGGAGUUAAAGGAUAGAGAUUCCACAGGUGUAUCAGCAGUCCCUGUGGUGCAGCAGACUGCGAAAAAAGUGAGUGAAGCAUUGGCAAUGUGUCACAAUCUGUCCCCCACUGAUUGAUUGAAAAA
Long non-coding RNA from Vidua macroura (Pin-tailed whydah), 4016 nucleotides. RefSeq lists it as uncharacterized. The record is from RefSeq and is a predicted model, not a curated record. The transcript has 4 exons. NCBI's taxonomy places the organism in Eukaryota, Metazoa, Chordata, Aves, Passeriformes, Viduidae.